GCCUUAUAUAAAGAAUAAAGUUACCAAAUUAUGCUGUUAUGUUCUGAAACUCAAAUCACUAUUUGAGAAACCCUCAAAUUGGUGCUUUCAUUAUUUAAUGAUGCAUUUAGACAAAACCACAAACAAGCCAUUUGAAACAAGAUUCUCUCCGUUGCCAUCUGUAGCAAUGUUAUUUCUAUAUAUGUAAUGAGAAGGCUAAAUAGCAGUGUUAACUCUUAAUUUCUUGUUUGAAUCCAUGGAAUCAUGCCUAUAAGACCAAGCCAAACGUUUGUAACAAACUCCCUAAUAAAGCUAGAGAAGUUACCCUUUCAUUUCUUUUAGUUUUAUUUGAGGAAUCAAGAACAAGUUUUGCACAUGCCUUUUCAUUUGGAAACCUUAACAGUACUGGUUACUUUGGUCUUUUUCCCAUCGAUUCAGCAUGUGAUAUAAUAACAGAUGAUACCUUUGUGUUGUGCUGCUUGACUAAAAAUACUGUUUUUUUCUUACCUCCUGACCUCCCUCCUUUCCUUCUUUCUUUCCUUUAAUGCUAGGAUACCAGUUGGCCUUUCAGUCUAGAAUUUAGUAAACAUGAAGAGGGGAGAGAUUACAAGUGGGUGUGUAUGUGUCUCCGUGUUCCAAGUAAAGCAGAUGAUUCAGCAUACACCCCUUAUUUUAGGGUACGAGUUUAGGGCUUAAUAAAUUUAUACUAAACCUGAAUGUUUUACAUCAAUUGUUCUUUGGUUUUUUCAAUACCAUCAAGUAGAUAACAGCCUCGGGUUGGUAGGUGGUUAUUAACAUCAUUUGAAGUACAGUAUUUGAACCACUUACAUUAGUAUGUCUAUCAUGAUUGUAUAGUUAGUACUUAAUAUGUUCAUCAUUCAGGUAUAACUAUAUGGUUUCAACUACCAGAACUUACACAGAACGUUGUUAUUUUUUUCAAGGCAUUAAUGCUAUGGCAAUAUUUUCCGAGUUGAUAAUUGGGGUCUAUACAAAUCUUCUGUUAAUGAUGGAUUUAUACAAUGAAUUGGAGUCUGGGACCCAUACAUAAUAGCAUAAAUUUUCAUUCAGUGAAUGUCGUUGAUAGUAAUAAACUACUUGGUAUGUGAUGUUAGUUUGUAUUUUAAAAGCUUGUUUAUAAUAUUCUUACCAUACUAAGUGAUGAUUUGUCCUUGGUCUAUGACUGAUGACACCAGGAAUAAAAGGGAGAGGGAAGGGAUUAAUCUUUGUUAUGUUUAUUUAACAAUGCAACAAACUAUGCCAUUUACCCUUUCUUUACCCCUUACUUGAAAGCAGAC
Molecule: long non-coding RNA, 1274 nt
Filed under: Heterocephalus glaber (naked mole-rat)
Lineage: Eukaryota; Metazoa; Chordata; Mammalia; Rodentia; Bathyergidae
Description: lncRNA (ENSHGLG00100051833.1)
Source: RNAcentral